Molecule: ribosomal RNA, 468 nt
Filed under: uncultured bacterium
Lineage: Bacteria
Description: partial 16S ribosomal RNA
Rfam family: Bacterial small subunit ribosomal RNA
Source: RNAcentral
GACGAACGCUGGCGGCGUGCUUAACACAUGCAAGUCGAACGGAGAGGCCGGGCUUUUGGGGGGUGCUCGAGUGGCGAACGGGUGAGUAACACGUGAGUAACCUGCCCUUGACUUUGGGAUAACUUCAGGAAACUGGGGCUAAUACCGGAUAGGAGCUCCUGCUGCAUGGUGGGGGUUGGAAAGUUUCGGCGGUCGGGGAUGGACUCGCGGCGUAUCCGCUUGGUGGUGGGGUAGUGGCUUGGCAAGGCUCUGAGGGGUGGCGGGCCUGAGCGGGUGACCGGCCACACCGGGACUGGGAUGCGGCACAGACUCGUACGCGAGGCAGCAGUGGAGAAUGUUACACUACGGACGGAAGCCUAACGCAGCAACGCCGCGUGCGGGAUGAGGGCAAGCGGGUUGUAAACUGCAUUCGUCUUGGACGAAGCGUGAGUGACGGUAAUGGGUAAAGAAGCACCGGCUAACUACGUG